AAUUAUCAAAAUUGCUCCAAUUUUGUUGGAGUGGUUUUGGAGUGUCUGGGAGUUUGCAGGUCCAUCGAACCGAAGGGCGAGCUCUCCUGAAAUGAAUUAGUGCGGCUGGAUUGGGCCUAAUUAGUGUGAUAAAAGAGAAAUUGAUCACUAGAAAAAGGGCUCUACCUGGCUUUGCUGAUUGCUUUAUACUAGCUUGGCUAGAAAAUAAUGAUGA
Molecule: unclassified non-coding RNA, 214 nt
Filed under: uncultured Amanita
Lineage: Eukaryota; Fungi; Basidiomycota; Agaricomycetes; Agaricales; Amanitaceae
Description: sequence contains ITS2
Source: RNAcentral